Molecule: ribosomal RNA, 650 nt
Filed under: Staphylococcus saprophyticus
Lineage: Bacteria; Bacillati; Bacillota; Bacilli; Caryophanales; Staphylococcaceae
Description: bacterial SSU rRNA
Rfam family: Bacterial small subunit ribosomal RNA
Source: RNAcentral
AAGGAGCUUGCUCCUUUGACGUUAGCGGCGGACGGGUGAGUAACACGUGGGUAACCUACCUAUAAGACUGGGAUAACUUCGGGAAACCGGAGCUAAUACCGGAUAACAUUUGGAACCGCAUGGUUCUAAAGUGAAAGAUGGUUUUGCUAUCACUUAUAGAUGGACCCGCGCCGUAUUAGCUAGUUGGUAAGGUAACGGCUUACCAAGGCGACGAUACGUAGCCGACCUGAGAGGGUGAUCGGCCACACUGGAACUGAGACACGGUCCAGACUCCUACGGGAGGCAGCAGUAGGGAAUCUUCCGCAAUGGGCGAAAGCCUGACGGAGCAACGCCGCGUGAGUGAUGAAGGGUUUCGGCUCGUAAAACUCUGUUAUUAGGGAAGAACAAAUGUGUAAGUAACUGUGCACGUCUUGACGGUACCUAAUCAGAAAGCCACGGCUAACUACGUGCCAGCAGCCGCGGUAAUACGUAGGUGGCAAGCGUUAUCCGGAAUUAUUGGGCGUAAAGCGCGCGUAGGCGGUUUCUUAAGUCUGAUGUGAAAGCCCACGGCUCAACCGUGGAGGGUCAUUGGAAACUGGGAAACUUGAGUGCAGAAGAGGAAAGUGGAAUUCCAUGUGUAGCGGUGAAAUGCGCAGAGAUAUGGAGGAACA